AUCCAGAUGACGAGUUUCAAAUAGGACGAAACGCGCAUCCUGCAU
This 45-nucleotide non-coding RNA is filed under the name Trichobilharzia regenti. Lineage: Eukaryota; Metazoa; Platyhelminthes; Trematoda; Strigeidida; Schistosomatidae. The record is from RNAcentral.